CUAUCACGAUUGACAAAAUUAACCUUGAAUGACUUACCAAGGUUGGAACACAUAUGGAACAAGAAUCCAAGAAUAGCAUUGUGUUUCCCAAACUUAAGGGUACUAAAGGUGCAAGGUUGUGAGAACUUGAGGUUUAUUUUUUCUUCUUCCAUGGCUAAAGCACUCCAACAGAUAAAAGAAAUAAAAGUAGCGAGAUGUAAACUGUUGGAGGAAAUUAUGGAUGUGCAAGAAGAAGAAUCAAAGAAAGCUGCAUCUAUGCACACUUUAGAGUUCCCUCUAUUAUCCUCCUUAUGUCUUGAGGAAUUGCCAAAUCUUAGAACAUUCUCUCAUGGAACACACUGUAUUCACUAUCCAACCUUAACAAGAUUGAGGAUAUUUGGAUGCCCCAAAAUGAUGGCAUUCUCUUCAUUCGAAGGAAAGCAACAGACGAUAACAACUAACGCAGGUUUACAACAAGCAUUUGGUGGUGUCAACUCUAGCUUGUCCUUGCCUAUACUCUUUGAUCAAAAUAUUCUUUUUCCGAGCUUGGAGGAGUUGACCGUUGUGUCGUGUGGGUUGACGAAGAUAUGGCACAAUGAACUUUCUGAAGAAUCAUUCCGCAAACUAGCAUCCAUCACAAUCCAAGAUUGUGAAAAUUUGUCUCAUAUUUUUCCAUCAAAUAUAGUAGAGGUGUUCAGAGCCUAAAAUUGAUUAAGGUGGUGAAUUGUACCUCUUUGGAAUCAUUAAUAGAACAUGUUGCUGUCAAUACUAAGAAAAGGCCAAAAAGUUUGGUCUUCUUAGACUUAAACGAAGUGAAGUUGUGGGACCUGCCGAGGCUGGAUGCUUUAGUGACAAGUAGCUCCCAAGCAACGUUGAGUCUUCCUAGUCUGACUACCGUUAACUUGCGCAAUUGCCACAGUUUGAGAUAUCUCUUCACAUAUGAUACAUCCAGGACUCUUUUUAAACUUGAGAUGGUAGAUGUUUCUGAUUGCAAUAAAAUGCAGGAAGUAGUUGCCAUGGAAGAAAGUGAAGAGCGAAAGUUAAAGGCAGUGAAGUUUUCUCAUUUACAUACAUUGGAGCUUUGUUCCCUUGAGAGCUUGAUUAGUUUCAGCUCAGGAAGUUGUGCAUUUGAGUUUCCCUCCCUCACAAAUCUCUCAAUUAUGGAGUGCACUAAACUCAAGGCAUUCAUACUAAGGCUGCCAAUGCCAAGAGUGGAGACGACAAAUGAGGGAACUGCCGGUUCUGAUGAAAGUCCACAUUCUUUAUUUGACGAGAAGGUUCUUUUUCCAAGCUUGGAGGAAUUGGAUCUUUCGUCCAUGUGCCAACUAAAGAGGAUAUGGCACAAUCAACUCCACGGACAGUCCUUCCGCAAACUUGCUUCC
Eucalyptus grandis is the source of this 1361-nucleotide long non-coding RNA. RefSeq lists it as uncharacterized. Lineage: Eukaryota; Viridiplantae; Streptophyta; Magnoliopsida; Myrtales; Myrtaceae. The transcript is spliced from 3 exons. The record is from RefSeq and is a predicted model, not a curated record.